GGGGACGUCGUCUAAAAGGCAGGACGGCAGGCUCCAGACCUGCUGGUUGUGGGUUCAAGUCCCACCGUCCCCA
Molecule: transfer RNA, 73 nt
Filed under: Nitrososphaerota archaeon
Lineage: Archaea; Thermoproteati; Nitrososphaerota
Also listed under: 1 other name
Description: Thaumarchaeota archaeon (hot springs metagenome) tRNA-Trp
Rfam family: tRNA
About the family: Transfer RNA (tRNA) molecules are approximately 80 nucleotides in length. Their secondary structure includes four short double-helical elements and three loops (D, anti-codon, and T loops).
Source: RNAcentral